UCUUGGAGGCCUUGCUACCCUGAACACACCUGAUCUUGUCUGAUCUCAGAAGCUAAGCAGGGACAGGCCUGGUUAGUACUUGGAUGGGAGACCACCUAGAAAGACCAGGUGCUGUAGGUG
Pteropus alecto (black flying fox) is the source of this 120-nucleotide non-coding RNA. Lineage: Eukaryota; Metazoa; Chordata; Mammalia; Chiroptera; Pteropodidae. The record is from Rfam.